AGGACGAACGCUGGCGGCGUGCCUAACACAUGCAAGUCGAACGAGUCCAGGAUUUCGGUCCUGAGGCGAGUGGCGGACGGGUGAGUAACACGUGAGUAAUUUGUCUCUGUGUGGGGGACAACCCGGGGAAACCCGGCUAAUACCGCAUGGGCAGGCACCUCUGAUGGGGAGCCUGGGAAAGACGGCCUCUUUACAAUGCUGUCAUGCAGAGAGAAGCUCGCGGCUAUCAGCUAGUUGGUGCGGUAACGGCGCACCAAGGCAUCGACGCUACGGGGUCUGAGAGGACGACCCCGCACAUUGGAACUGAGACACGGUCCAGACUCCUACGGGAGGCAGCAGUGGGGAAUUUUGGGCAA
Molecule: ribosomal RNA, 356 nt
Filed under: uncultured soil bacterium
Lineage: Bacteria
Description: bacterial SSU rRNA
Rfam family: Bacterial small subunit ribosomal RNA
Source: RNAcentral